RNAcentral lists this long non-coding RNA (1149 nucleotides) under Vigna radiata. Its description in RNAcentral is "long non-coding RNA (VRAD_LNC006326)". The record is from RNAcentral. Lineage: Eukaryota; Viridiplantae; Streptophyta; Magnoliopsida; Fabales; Fabaceae.
UUAAAAAAAGAAUUCCACUAACAAACUAAAAUAAAAACUAAAUUUAAAUAAAUCUAUAUAUACCUUCAAAUAAAAAAAAAAUUAAUAAACUAAGAAAAACAAAAAAAAAACCACCCAAAGCCAAAACGGAUGUCCCAUAUUCGUUUGGCCUUGAAACGGAUGUGUGACAUCCGUCGACAGAUAUGCGACAUCUUUUCAAGGCCAAACGGAUAUGCGACAUCUGUUAUGGCCUGAGCGGUCAUCGUCUUCCUACACACAGGCAACACACAGCGAAACACCAACGAAACACCAACAAACCAUGCACACAUUCAAUAAAUCUAAGAUCUAUGCAUGAAUAUUAAAGACUAAAAAUCGAAGCACCUGGUAAACGACUGCCCCAAUCUGCACCAUGCACCACCAAUGCGAACCACUACCCUACUAUCGAAACACCACCGCACCGCACCACCGCACCGCACCACCAUGGAGAGCAAAGGUAGAUUUUGGAAGAAGUCAGCCAAAGAAAAAAAAGUGUGACGGAGGUGGGAGAAGAAGAGGCGGAUCUCAAAAGCUUAAGGGGGGUAGGGGUUGGGACUAUGAGUAGAGAGUAAAAAUGAGAAAGAAAAAGUAAAAUCUUAGGGUUCGGGGUUACUAUGCUAAAUAACAUUAAAAGUAAAAACGUAUAAAAAAAAUAAAAAGGUUAAAAAAGGAAAAGAAAAAGGUUAUUUUUUUAAUUAAAAAAAAUGAAGAAAGUUUGGGAGGUAGAGGGACGAAACGGGAAAGUGGAGGGAGCAACCCCUUCGCGUAUUAGGCUUUUAGUUCAAGGCGCAAUAUGAAAUAAUACUAUUCACUUAACUAAAUAAAAGGCUUUUAUUUCUGCACCCUACAACCUUUUUGCACACCUCACCAUAUUUGUCAAAAUGACUACUUUACCAUAUUUCAGAAAGUUUCUUAAAUUUCAAAAAUAAAAUUUUUGAAAUAGAAUUUAUGAAAUCAGAUUUUCAUAUUAGAAUUUUUGGAAUAAAAUGAAAUACAUUAUUGAAAAGGAUUUUCUAAUGUAGUUUGAUUCCUGUAAAAUUAGUGAGGUUUAACUUUGAUUUUUAUAUAAAAAAGUAUCUUAUAUUCCUUCAUUGAAACAAUUGUUUUCAAUUUUUGUUAUAUUGAAUAUCUCCC